CCUACGGGGGGCAGCAGUGGGGAAUAUUGGACAAUGGGGGGAACCCGGAUCCAGCCAUGCCGCGUGUGUGAAGAAGGCCCUCGGGUUGUAAAGCACUUUCAGUGAGGAAGAACGCCUGGUGGUUAAUACCCAUCAGGAAAGACAUCACUCACAGAAGAAGCACCGGCUAACUCCGUGCCAGCAGCCGCGGUAAUACGGAGGGUGCGAGCGUUAAUCGGAAUUACUGGGCGUAAAGCGCGCGUAGGUGGCUUGAUAAGCCGGUUGUGAAAGCCCCGGGCUCAACCUGGGAACGGCAUCCGGAACUGUCAAGCUAGAGUGCAGGAGAGGACGGUAGAAUUCCCGGUGUAGCGGUGAAAUGCGUAGAGAUCGGGAGGAAUACCAGUGGCGAAGGCGGCCUUCUGGACUGACACUGACACUGAGGUGCGAAAGCGUGGGUAGCAAACAGGAUUAGAUACCCCUGUAGUC
Molecule: ribosomal RNA, 465 nt
Filed under: Vreelandella stevensii
Lineage: Bacteria; Pseudomonadati; Pseudomonadota; Gammaproteobacteria; Oceanospirillales; Halomonadaceae
Description: partial 16S ribosomal RNA
Rfam family: Bacterial small subunit ribosomal RNA
Source: RNAcentral